UACGGAGGGUGCGAGCGUUAUCCGGAAUUACUGGGCUUAAAGGGUGCGUAGGCGGCCAGGUAAGUCAGGAGUGAAAGUUUGCGGCUCAACCGUAAAAUUGCUUUUGAUACUGCCAGGCUAGAAUUAGGAUGAGGUCAGCGGAAUGUGGCAUGUAGCGGUGAAAUGCAUAGAUAUGCCAUAGAACACCAAUUGCGAAGGCAGCUGGCUAGACCUGGAUUGACGCUGAGGCACGAAAGCGUGGGGAGCGAACAGG
Molecule: ribosomal RNA, 253 nt
Filed under: uncultured bacterium
Lineage: Bacteria
Description: partial 16S ribosomal RNA
Rfam family: Bacterial small subunit ribosomal RNA
Source: RNAcentral